This 3855-nucleotide long non-coding RNA is filed under the name Lactuca sativa (garden lettuce). RNAcentral describes it as "long non-coding RNA (LSAT_LNC000029)". Lineage: Eukaryota; Viridiplantae; Streptophyta; Magnoliopsida; Asterales; Asteraceae. The record is from RNAcentral.
CUAUUAAUCGAUGAUUUUAUAUAUUAUUUUAAGUUGUGUAAAUUGUAUAUCAAAAAUAUGUAGAUAGAUAUUUUUAACAAAUUAUGAUUUAAUAUUUAUUUAUAAAAAAACAAAUAGUAUGAAAAAUACUACUACUUUUAAUGUUUUUAUAGACUAAUUUAAUUUGUGUAAUUAUAUAUAAAAAAAUACGUUGUUUUAUGUAUAACGCAUAACAAAUCAUAUAAAAAGUAUUACAACUUUUAAUAACAUAAAAACAUUAUAACAUAUACUAUACAUUUGUAUCAAUUUGUUUAUUAGAUGCCUAUAAAUCAUGCAAAAAAAAUAUUGAAAUCAACGUACAUUUUAUAUAUAGAAACACUAUUAUCCUAAGAAAAAUUUAUAUUGUAAUAAUCUCUGAUGCCAUAAAACUUAUUUUUCAACUCGUUAUAUUUAAAUCAAAAAUCUCUUUAAACACAUGAAAUUUUUUUAUGAGCAAAACAUAGUCAUAUACUAUAGCUACAAUGUGAAUAAGUGAGGAAAAUAAAAAGUCAUUAUCAGUUAAUAACAAUAAGUUAAAAAAAACUCUUGAGUUGUAGUAAUUAACUAGUAAAAACCCCAUACUACGUUGCAGGUUUGAAAUAGUUUAUUGUGACAUGAAACUGUAACAUGCAAGUUUUAUGAUCAAUGAUUUGUUUUUUUGCUAAUGAUUGGUUGUUUUGCAAAAUCUUGGGGCAAAAAUCCAAAAAAGAAAAUUUUAUUAUUUUAGGGACUAAAAUUGUCAAAAUAGAAAAAGAAAUGUGAGCAAAAAUUAAGGUAAAAAACGGAAAAGGCAGAUGAGUCAGCAACAUGGUCGAAAGUUGAGAAAUAUUGGGGUAAAAAGGCAAAAAAGAAAAUUUUAUUAUUUUAGAGACUGAAGUUGUCAAAAUAGGAAAAUAAAUGUGGCAACCAUACAGAUAACAACAUUGAUAUAUGAGCCUUCAGCCUGGACCGCCNCCUAUAAUUUUAAAUUAUUACUUAUGUCUACUAUUAAUCGAUGAUUUUAUAUAUUAUUUUAAGUUGUGUAAAUUGUAUAUCAAAAAUAUGUAGAUAGAUAUUUUUAACAAAUUAUGAUUUAAUAUUUAUUUAUAAAAAAACAAAUAGUAUGAAAAAUACUACUACUUUUAAUGUUUUUAUAGACUAAUUUAAUUUGUGUAAUUAUAUAUAAAAAAAUACGUUGUUUUAUGUAUAACGCAUAACAAAUCAUAUAAAAAGUAUUACAACUUUUAAUAACAUAAAAACAUUAUAACAUAUACUAUACAUUUGUAUCAAUUUGUUUAUUAGAUGCCUAUAAAUCAUGCAAAAAAAAUAUUGAAAUCAACGUACAUUUUAUAUAUAGAAACACUAUUAUCCUAAGAAAAAUUUAUAUUGUAAUAAUCUCUGAUGCCAUAAAACUUAUUUUUCAACUCGUUAUAUUUAAAUCAAAAAUCUCUUUAAACACAUGAAAUUUUUUUAUGAGCAAAACAUAGUCAUAUACUAUAGCUACAAUGUGAAUAAGUGAGGAAAAUAAAAAGUCAUUAUCAGUUAAUAACAAUAAGUUAAAAAAAACUCUUGAGUUGUAGUAAUUAACUAGUAAAAACCCCAUACUACGUUGCAGGUUUGAAAUAGUUUAUUGUGACAUGAAACUGUAACAUGCAAGUUUUAUGAUCAAUGAUUUGUUUUUUUGCUAAUGAUUGGUUGUUUUGCAAAAUCUUGGGGCAAAAAUCCAAAAAAGAAAAUUUUAUUAUUUUAGGGACUAAAAUUUUCAAAAUAGAAAAAGAAAUGUGAGCAAAAAUUAAGGUAAAAAACGGAAAAGGCAGAUGAGUCAGCAACAUAGUCGAAAGUUGAGAAAUAUUGGGGCAAAAAGGCAAAAAAGAAAAUUUUAUUAUUUUAGAGACUGAAGUUGUCAAAAUAGGAAAAUAAAUGUGGCAACCAUACAGAUAACAACAUUGAUAUAUGAGCCUUCAGCCUGGACCGCCUUGUUUGGCCUACAUCCUAUCUGGACUGCUCUUCGAGCCUUCGGUCUGACUGGACCACCUUGCAGGGCCUAUAGCCUACCCAGACCGCUAUUUGGGCCUGCGGCCUAACUGGACCACCUUGUCGGGCCUACAACCUAUCUGGACCGCCUUAUGUAUCUUGGCCUCAACCCAACAAACCAUAACAUGUUGACAUAUACCAUAACAAAUAAUAACCAAUAAGUACAUGUAAUCAUACCGAUAUACCAAUCUAACACAUAACCAGGGAAUACAGGUAAUUAUAUGGAUCUAACAGUCUGUCAUAUACCAGCAUAGCAUCAUCCAAUAUACUAGGAUACAUAAUCCAUUAGGGCGAUAUUGGUGCCUUCGACCCACAAGUAUAGUGAGGAAAACUCACCUAAUAGUCUAAAAUGUAGCUAAACAGAUCACAACUCCAACGGUUGACUCUAAAGAUCACAUAUACAACAAAUAGUAACCUAAUCUCAAUCUACUGCUCAAAAUACCCAAAAUACCCAUAGGUCAAACUUUGUUAAAAUAGUGAUCAAAGUAAGGGUCAAAAAGUCAAAAGUCCCACCUAGGCUGACUAUGUCUUGCAUACUCCUCUCUACGCCCAACGUCGAGGGUGCCUCUCAAAUUAUGGGAGCUAAACCUAGUAUGCACAACGUAUCUCCUGGUACCCCCCAACAUACAAGCACUAAAUCCCUAUUUCAUCAUUAAGUCCUUAUUUUAUUAAGCCAAAGCAAUAAACUUCCUAUCCAGGUUAAAAAGGAUGUCUUAAUGGAUAAAGUCUCCGAAUUUAUCCAUUUGCAUGCAUACAAGAUGAUAUAAACUCAAAACCUUGGUCCAAAAGUCAUCCAAAGCUCAAAAUCACUUGCAUGGCUUAAUAAGAGUGUCCAAGCUCUCAUUUUUAUGAAUCUACGAGCUCAAAACUAUAGAAAACUACAAUUCAAGGACCUGGAGUAGCUCAUACUCCACAAGAACAAAACUAUGAGACCAAAAAUGUACACAAACACUAGACUAGAAAGAUCUAAGCAAACAACUCAUCAAGUUCCAAGCUUUAUACCUUCAAAUGAUGCUUGAGGUGAGAUACUUCUGGAUCUAGGUUGCCUUGAGCUUCCAAGAUGAUUUCACUAUCUUCUCCUUCCUUUAAGAACACAAAAAUACACACUCUCAAGCUAAAAAAUGCUCAUACAAUGGAUUAGGGUUUAUAAGGGUUGAUUUGGGAGAUGUAGGCUAGUAAGGGAAAAGGUCUUAAGGAUAUAAUGAUGUUUAAAUAUGAUUCAAACCCUAAAAAUUAAAGUUUGGACCCCAGCCACGUAUGUCCGAUAUACGCUUGAUUACGCUCAAUGUCUUAACACAACACGUGUUUUUCACUAAGUGAGCUAUAGGACCAAUUUUGCAACAAAUUUAAUACUAGGGGGUGAAAAUGGAAAAUACCUGGCAUUUGGGUGUUACAUUAUAGUGGAAACAGUAUUGUAAAAAUUGGUCUAGGCGACCGUGUAGGCUUUAGGCAACAUCUUAUUGCCUAUGAUUAAUUCUAGUAUGUCAAACUAGUCAGAAUCGGUCCUUAGUGGUCUAACACGAUCAAAAAGUCAAACAAUCAAAAUUUUCAAAAAAGUCCCCGAUUAGUCAAAUUUAUGAAAAUCGGUGAAAUAAUUAUAAUGAAUGAUGACUAAAAUUGUGAAAAAGAUCAUACAUUAGUCUAAAAUGUAUGAUAUAUAACGAUUUAAAUAGUCAGACUAAUGAAUAUAUCAAAACUUUAUGGUUAUUUACUUAUUUUGUUAGGAUACGGGUAAUAUUUAUUUAUUUUUAAAUAAAUUCUAUUAUAAUUAAGGGUCUCCGACUAGGCGCCGUUUAAUCCUCGCAUAGACCGAUUAGUCCCUUA